AGCAAACAGGAUUAGAUACCCUGGUAGUCCACGCNNNAAACGAUGUCUACUAGUUGUCGGGCCUUAAUUGGCUUGGUAACGCAGCUAACGCGUGAAGUAGACCGCCUGGGGAGUACGGUCGCAAGAUUAAAACUCAAAGGAAUUGACGGGGACCCGCACAAGCGGUGGAUGAUGUGGAUUAAUUCGAUGCAACGCGAAAAACCUUACCUACCCUUGACAUGCCAGGAACCCCGCUGAAAGGUGGGGGUGCUUGGAAGAGAGCCUGGGCACAGGUGCUGCAUGGCUGUCGUCAGCUCGUGUCGUGAGAUGUUGGGUUAAGUCCCGCAACGAGCGCAACCCUUAUCAUUAGUUGCUACGCAAGGGCACUCUAAUGAGACUGCCGGUGACAAACCGGAGGAAGGUGGGGAUGACGUCAAGUCCCCAUGGCCCUUAUGGGUAGGGCUUCACACGUCAUACAAUGGUCGGUACAGAGGGCUGCCAACCCGCGAGGGGGAGCUAAUCCCAGAAAACCGAUCGUAGUCCGGAUUGCAGUCUGCAACUCGACUGCAUGGAGUCGGAAUCGCUAGUAAUCGCGGAUCAGCAUGUCGCGGUGAAUACGUUCCCGGGUCUUGUACACACCGCCCGUCACACCAUGGGAGUGGGUUUUACCAGAAGUAGUUAGCCUAACCGCAAGGAGGGCGAUUACCACGGUAGGGCUCAUGACUGGGGUGAAGUCGUAACAAGGUAACCAAGGGCGAA
RNAcentral lists this ribosomal RNA (738 nucleotides) under uncultured bacterium. RNAcentral describes it as "bacterial SSU rRNA". It matches the Rfam family "Bacterial small subunit ribosomal RNA", at positions 767 to 1510 of the family's 1533-position model. The record is from RNAcentral.